AAGUCCUGCCCUUGGUGAAAGUGCUUUGAUAUUAAUUUCAAUAGGGCCUGCAUUUCAUCCACUUAUGUUAACGGAGUAAUUAAUUUCUAUUAUUCCCAUUUGUAUGUUGCUUCCCACGCGCUCUCAGGAUCAUAUAGAUGAGCCGUGAAACUGAAAAUGGAAACACUGGAGUAUCGUGUUAGAAGGACAUUUUCAACUGGGCGUAAAGAUGUUACCUUAAACCUUUACUCACGUUUAUGGGUGUGGGAUGCCACAUGCCCUGAAAACUUGCUUGCCAACUCUCUUCCCUUCAUCUGCUACCCACUCACACUGCUCCUCAUCCCUUCAGGCCAUUACCUCUCCCCUUGGUCCUUCCAGCUCAAUGGCUGUAAGGAGUAAAAUAACUAAUAUAUCCCAUAAUAUAUGGCAGUGCUCCAAAGACCUCCUUGGCAUUUGAAAAAUUAGAGCCAAACCUGCUCACUGUGAGAAAAGCAUUUCCCAGAGCAGCAAAGGAAGCAUGUCGGAUGGGAUGCUGGGAUCCAGCAAGACAAUACCACAGGAACAAACUGAGUGAACAAGCCCUUCUCAUCCAUUAAGUGUGCUGACCCCGUGGAUCAAGUCCUGCCUUCGCAUGGGGCUGAGAAGGUGGUUUGUGUCUACAGGGAACUUCCUGAAGUUGAGCUGCAAAUACGCGUGAUUGAAUUCAAGUUUGCCUUGAUGCCCUGAUGGCUUCCCCCCAGUGUGGUUCUAUUGCUGUUUGGCCCCAGGUCUUUGCUACUCUCCUGCAGUUGAUUCACAGAUGGGAUUUCUGAAAUGUACAUCCAUCCAGUUCCUCAGCCAUGGGGGAAUUACCAACGCAUGGCUUAGGCACUCACCUGUGUUUCCCUUUUAAAAUGAUCUGAACAGAUGCAAAAAAGUCAGGCUUCAUUCUGGGGUCCCAGCAUCAUCUUUCUUGCUGUUCUUGGUACUCAUCUCACAGGAAUUUCAUUAGGGUGAGGAACAGAAAAAUAACACUUCUUCACAUGCUGUCAAUCAAGUGACUGACUUAUAUCACAACCUCAGAUCGGCUCUUCAUGUGAAACUGGCACACUGCUGCAAAUUUCUAGGGAACUGCCCUUUUUCAAGAGAAAAAAAAAGGAAAAAUGAUAUUUGCCUUCUCUCACUUGGGUAUGCAUGUACACAGCAAGUGCAUUUUGUAAGCUUGUCCUGUGAGUGGCAGGCUGGCGUGGAGUGCUCACACGUGUUCUAGCAAUAAGAGGCACAGCAUAUUUUGCAGGAAAAUUUGCAGAAUGACUCUAAUCCAAGUAAAUCUGAAAACAGUCACAAUCUUUAAAGGGAUUAAGGUCCUAACCCAGCUCUUCUUUCAUAAUAUCUGGAGAAAAAGCUGUUGGAAAAUGGUAUAAAAAAUGGUAUAAAAAAUAAAGUAAAUACCCACACAAGAAUACAGGACAUGGAAAAUACCUAAGAAUAAUUAAAUGAACAGUACUUCAGAUAGUGGAUCUCUUCUUUAUAAUGGUAAUGAAUAGUUUUUCUGUAAAGUUAGCAUAUUUAAUCAGUUCUAUGGAUAUGUGCACACCUCAGAUGAUGUGCUGAUGGUCUGUGCUUUCAGUUAUGUUUUGUGCCUUGGGAUGGAGGUGCUUGUCUGUUUUUUGAUGAGUACAGAAGCUUCAGGAUGUAGCAGAGAGGUCCUGGGAACGUUUCAGAAUAACAACAACAGUAUCAAUAGAGAAGAGGAAGCAAAAGGUGACUGCAGGAGAAAACCAGAUUAAAGGGAAAGUUAUCACAGGCCUCAGUUCUGCUGGGUCAGUGCCGGUCUGCCCUGGAUGUCCUUGAAGUUUUUCUUGAUGAAUUUGAAAUCACAGAUGUUGUUUUGUGUGUGUGCGUGCACAAACAAGGAAUGUGUGCAUUUUUAAACAAUGUGUUGUUUUGUCUGGAUGUGCUGUUCUGUGAGGGGAGUUUUGCUGUGCAUUCAGGGUGGGCAAAGACUCCAGUUAGAUAAGCACGCGGCCUGAGAAGUACUGCUUGAAGAGGAAAACAAAAGAAAACCAGGGGCUAAAACAAAGCCUAUCAAAAAUAAUAAUAACUUGAGGAUGUGUGUAUACAUUCAGAUGCUGUACAUUUACUGCAGGUUAUUAUAGGAGUGAUCUGAGUUAUAUUUUGAAGCUUUUCUUAUGAAUAGAGAAGCGUGGAGGAAUGUAAUAUGUUUAGCUUGUCAGAAUACCAGCUAGAGGGUGAAAAUCAGAGGAACCUUCAGAGGAUUUAGCACCACCUCAUUGAUUCAGUGGGACUUCAGCAGCUUAGCCUGGCUAGAAUAUAACCCAAUAAGUGUAAAAAAAAAAAAAAAAAACAACACAUUAAGCCACAUAAAGAGAUGAAGUUAAGCAGCAUGAAGCUUGUUUUUGCAAUCCUUCCUUAAGUGCUUGGGGUUGCUUUUUUAUGAGUGAAGGAAUUUGUCUUGAAAUUUGUCCAGAGUGACAGGGAACAGCUGAGCAGAGAAAUUAUGGGAAGCCCAAAAUGUAAACAAAAAUAAAAUUUCAAACCUUAUUUUUUCUCACUAAUUACCCCCUCAAGAAUCCAACGUCUGGUUGUUCCCUUCUUUAUGUUCCAGGGCAGCACUUCGUUGGAAGCUAUCUAUAUGAAAGCAUGCACAUUACCUGUUUAUAGGUUUUUUCCUCCCGUAAGGUCCCAUAAUUCUUUCUAAUCUACUUAAAGGAUUUAGCCAAAGUAUUAACAUGAGCCAGAAGGGAUAAUGUUGUUAUUCUAUCAUAGAAUAACAUGAAUAUCCUUUAAUAUAGAUAGUGUCUGUUGUCCAUACCUCAACUUUUCUAUAUUUUACCACUUUCUUUUCUUCCCCUGUUCUUUAUCUUCACUUCAGCAGUAGAUCAGUUAUUUCCAUCUCUGCUUAGUCAGAUGAUCAAUAAUUCAAUAUGUAAUAUUUCCCAAACAAACCCCUAAGGAUGCCUAUGAGGUCAAUGAACACACUGUUGAGGGAUCUUUCAGUCUUUACUUUUUGCCAGCUGGUGCAGUGAGCAUGUGCCAAGUCUUAAGCCAAUGAGUGGUUUCCUCUCUUUGACUUACUGAUGUACCCUGAUGACUUAAGGGUACAUCUUUUCUCAAUAUUGUAUCCAAUUAUAUCAUACAAAUUCAGCCUCCACUGUCUGUACUCUAAGCUAGGCAGAUGUGGGCUAGCUCCAUUUUGGAAACUGUACAUGUAUAUUAAUGAAGGGAUUGGUUGGAGCUCAUAAGCUUUGUUGAUAAGCUAACUUGGGCAUGAGCCUGGACCCAUGUGUUUGAGCAGGCUGACAGCCUACCAGCUACAACACAGGCAAUCCAUGGUUGCCAUCCCCUCGCCUCUCCCAAGGGGAGAUGAUCAGAAGGGGCAAACAAUGAAGCCAGGGUCAGUGUGUACAGAAGAGAGCCAGGGCUCUGACAGAUCUCCUCUGCCAGCACCAUCAGGCCAAGAGCCUGAUGUGUUUGAGUCACAUCCUUUGCAGACCCUGGAGAUGCACUGACAAUAGUCAUUCUAAUACAGCAUUUAGACUGAUGUUCAACUGGGAAGGCUCUAGGUCGGUAGGCACUAAAGGUUUCUGAUCCAUCACUUUUCAGGACAUUUUGAGAGGCAGGAAAUACAUUUCUGCUUCAUUUCAGUGCCUCUGCAAAAGAUUUACCGUAAUCCUUGUUUGCAAUUGACAAUUCUGGCCAAUGAUUCUAAGGUUUGAUUUGGCAACUGAACUUAUAAAAUAAUGAACAUAAUCCCUCCAUCCUCCACUGAACAGCUGGUGCUAACUUAUUAAACGGCAACCUCAUUCUGCACUAACUUUUGUUGGAUUUGUAGCUAUUCCACCCUCUGAAUGGCAUGUUUACUCAGUAUUCUUUCUUUAUUCUAUAUUUCCACUAGCCUUUCUUCUAUUUACUUAUCUGCAUUUCAGUACCUACUCUUCUGUAUGAUGUUAGGAUGCAUCGCUUCAUGUAGUAUUACCUUUCAUCUCAAGCCUACUAUUGACCCAAAUGCUGUCAUCCUUCUUGACUUCUCGCUCUAUGAUGUUUCUGAACCACUUUUAAGAUCAACAAUUUGCAACCCUUUCUAACUGAUCUCCCUCUGCUACCACUCCGUGUUUGAAAACUUCUCAUUUUCUUGUUAUGCCGCACCUCCUCAUUGCUGUCUGCCAGCCCAUCUGCUCACUUUUCUUUGAGACCUGUCUGUUCUGUAUGCAUUUUUAUUCACAGAGUAUGUGUUAGUGUCAUUGGUCCUCUGUGACACAGCGGAUGCUUAGGGGGGAGCCUUGGCAUUCAGCUUUCCCCAGGUAAGAUCAGGUUGUAUGGUUAUCUUACUUAAAACUGGGUAUAGUAGUCAUGUGAAGAGAGAGUCCCGCAGUUAGUGCAUGCAACCACUCCAGUAAUCAGCCCAUACAGCAGAGAUUUAUCCUAACUGGAAGGACUUUGCAUCACACUGGAUUCUCUCUUCCUACCUACUGCAGCUUUAGCCAUAACGCGUACUUCAAUUUACUACUUCUUGACUAAAGGGUUCUUCCAUGCAUUAAGACAAAAUAAAAAGAGGUGUAAAAGCGCUGUUUAAUGGUUUCCCUAUAACAGCAUUAGUGUGGGUGCAAGUGUCUCACUAAAUACAUAAAUGUAGAUAAUCCUUUCUUUCUAGCUCUCUUCUCUCAGGCUACAUUUUUUUUCCUUUAUAACUCAUCCCUGGAGAAAUGUUCACAGUGAAAAAUCAUUGCUAACUUCAUUUUUUUUGCCUUCCCUGUGAAUUUCUUUCCUGGAGCAAUAAUAAGAAAUAAUGGGUGCAGUGCUUUCCUACAGAGUCUAUGGUAUAUAACAAAUAGUCUGGUGUUUUAUUUGUUGUUGCCGUAUUUAAUUUAAGUGUAUUAAUUUUUCUCCUUGACUUAUCUAUUUUCUUUCUAAGUGCGGAGGGCCUUCCAAACCUUUUGGUAAUGUCACUUUAGGAACCAGAUUGGCUUUGUAGUUAUAUGUGGAAACUAAGAUUCUGGUCUCAAGUCUCACCUGCUUCCUUUCUGGAUUAACUUCAACAGUUCCCCUUUUUCUUGAGCAAUCACCAAUGACAAGUUGUAGGCGUCCAGCUUAAUAAACCAACUGUAAACCAAUAUCAAUCAGAGCCUAUGACUUAAACUGACAGAAGAAGAGAGAUGUUUUCUUGGUGUCUCUGAAAAAAAGACCAGCUGAGCCACAGAAAUCAGUCAUGCUGGUCUUAAUCCCUGUAUGUCUCAAUUUACCUUUUCGUAAAAUGGUUCCAAUAUCUAAUUCACAAGGAAGGAGUACUCAGUCUAUUUAAAGCUUAUGAAACAUUGCACAGCUCUGACUGGAUUGCAUUUGCUGAGUGUUAAGUUAAAUGACAAUAUUAUUUUCUGUCAUUGUGCUGUUGCUCUGCUUAGAACAGAUUAGGGAAAAGCGGCUGGGUGGGCAGAUUCUCUUUUUAUAUCUGAGCAAAUUUAGCAAAUCCAAAGACAGAAAGAUUUCCUUAGUUACAUCUUUGUGACCCUGUUUUCUUCAUUAAUUCACAGUUAGAAAGAGAGACAUUUGCAUUAUAAAUGGAAUCACUAAUAACAGUGUUCAUUUUCAGUCUGUAGGUUCAUCGUUUUGACAAGCAAGGAUUCUCAUUAAGCAAGGGUGGGAAAAUGGAGACUGCAAAAGCUUGGUUUGCACCAUCUGGACUGGACUUGCUCUGUGCACACAGUCUCUGUGCACUGGGACGGAGGGAUGAAGCAGAGCAGCCCGUGCUGCCCAGCGCUUACGCGAUCGCUCCAGCUGAGCAAUGCAGGCUCAGAACACAAUUCAUCCUCGUUCAAGUGACACUCAGGUUCAGUUCUACAGAAUCACUACAAACACAGAAUCACUGCGUGAGCACUUCAUCCAGCACAGUGGAGCUUCCAUGCCAUGAACAGAUGCUGUCUGAACACUGAGAUUCUGGAAUGAAAGCUGCUCUAUGACUUCAAAACAUGGUUGAACAAGAAGUGGAACAGCCUAAUGAAGCAUGGAUCCAGCUACUGGAGACUUUAAAAAUGUAAAGAUUUUUUUCUCUGGUAUUCAAAAUCUAGGUGACCUGUCAGGCCCUUGUAGAUUGCUCCUAAACUGACAAUACUCCAGUGCCUCCUCCAAGUGGAUGCUCAACAAGCAGGAAAGCAAUACAAGCAGGGGAACCUGAGGUGUUCAUCUGCAGCACAGUAUUUACUAAUAAUACUGAUAUAUUUCUUUCCCUUCAGCUCCCAUUCCAGUUGGGAAGUUUACCUAGCCAGCUUAGUUUGUCUUUUCAGGUGGUUCUCACAUUACGUACUUUUGAUGGCUGCAGAUUGUAUUGCAAUUACAGUUUACAUUGUAUGAAAUUACUAUUAUACCUUAUAAUCUUUUCAUUUCUGUAUUUAUUCUCACGGCUGCAAACAAAAAUAAAGACUGGCUUUCUU
Phasianus colchicus (ring-necked pheasant) is the source of this 6407-nucleotide non-coding RNA. The record is from RefSeq and is a predicted model, not a curated record. NCBI's taxonomy places the organism in Eukaryota, Metazoa, Chordata, Aves, Galliformes, Phasianidae.